GCACGUUCACUCAUACAUGCUACUUCUACUCCGGAAGUACCAUCCACAUAUAUCCACUCAUUUCCAUCUCCAGAUUCACCCAAAAUUAUUCUACUCCUAAUCUGGGAGAGAAUAGCCAAAAACAUUAUCCUAUCCCUAUUAUUCCCUGUGAAAUAAAUGCUCGAGUUAUCUUGGUUACUACCACUUGCUAUAUUAUUUAAGGAGAUGAGUGCUCUAAAAAAAAUAUAUACGAGGAAAUAAAAAGGGGCAAGUGCCCGGAACCUCGAAGAAAAGAAAAAGUGAGACGAGAGGUAAAAAUGGACAAGUGUCCGACAGUAGAAUUAGGGGUACAAGAUACCCACCUGAGAGGAAAGAAAAAGAAAAUAUAGAGCAUCUCAUUCUCCCCAAAAAGCUUCAAAGUGCAAGAAAGGUAUGUAUCCCCUCAAAAGAGCAAAAGUAGAAUUAGACUUUGACCAUUGUUAUCACCAUCAUCACCAUACACCAUUCAUUCGCCACACAUGCACAUCUUGAUUUGACUUAUUGACUUGUUUCUCUGGAUCCAUGGUUUGACUAUGCAAUAAAUGUCUUGUAAGUAUGUAUUAGCUAUCUCCCACCUAUGAGCUCCAGAUAUCAAAACCUUAUUAGAGUAGGGUGAGAGAGAAGGUAAUAUCACUAUGCAUUAUACCAAAAAUACCACAUACUUUGAGAGAAGGCAUAUACCAUUACUGCCUUGGUAAGGAUCUAGAAAUACCA
RNAcentral lists this long non-coding RNA (732 nucleotides) under Sorghum bicolor (sorghum). RNAcentral describes it as "long non-coding RNA (SBIC_LNC012481)". The record is from RNAcentral. Lineage: Eukaryota; Viridiplantae; Streptophyta; Magnoliopsida; Poales; Poaceae.